Molecule: long non-coding RNA, 629 nt
Filed under: Callithrix jacchus (white-tufted-ear marmoset)
Lineage: Eukaryota; Metazoa; Chordata; Mammalia; Primates; Cebidae
Description: lncRNA (ENSCJAG00000070794.1)
Source: RNAcentral
AAUAAUUUGUGGUGUAGAAAGAAAAGAAGAGACUUUGGAAUAAAGCAGACCUGGGCACCACUUAUUGACACCUUCAACUUCCACAGACUUCUGAAUCUCCCCAAACAUCUGUUUUUUCACUUUUGAAAUGACAGAAAUUCAAGGGAUGUUGGGAAGUGAAAUAUCUACAAGACUCACCAAGAGAAAAGACCAUGUGAGGACACAGUAAGAAGGAGGCCAUAUGCAAAGCAGAAAGGAAGACCUCACCAGAACCAAAAACCAACCCUGCUGGCACCCUCAUCUUGGACUUCUAGCCUUUCUCAGAACUGAGUCUAACUUAAGGAAUCGAUCUUUUGGCCAUUGAAUUUUUAAUGGUGCCCACUUUGAUGGCUUGUUGUACUAGUGCCUUUGAUCUCCAUCAUAGAAAAUGCUCUGCUCCAUUUCCAAAGAGAUUGUCAGGUUCUGCAAGUCAGGAAUCCAUUUGUGGCUUAGCUGGGUCCUUUGGAAAGAAUCAAGAUGUCUACCAGAUUGAAAAAAAAAAAGAAAUUCUGCCAUUCGCAACAACAUGGAUGAAACUUGAGGGCAUUAUGCUUAGUGAAAUAAAUCAAGCACAGAAAGAGAAAUACCAUAUGAUCUUACCUAUAUGUUAA